This 388-nucleotide ribosomal RNA is filed under the name Labrus bergylta (ballan wrasse). RNAcentral's name for it is "partial 16S ribosomal RNA". It matches the Rfam family "Bacterial large subunit ribosomal RNA", at positions 1963 to 2502 of the family's 2925-position model. The record is from RNAcentral. Lineage: Eukaryota; Metazoa; Chordata; Actinopteri; Labriformes; Labridae.
ANUCACUUGUCUUUUAAAUGGAGACCUGUAUGAAUGGCACAACGAGGGCUUGACUGUCUCCUCUUUCUUAUCAAUGAAAUUGAUCUCCCCGUGCAGAAGCGGGGAUCCNACCAUAAGACGAGAAGACCCUAUGGAGCUUUAGACACUAAAGCAGACCCUGUUAAAUACCCCCAAUUAAGGGCUAAAACCAAGGGGCCCCCUGCCCUAAUGUCUUUGGUUGGGGCGACCGCGGGGAAACACAAAACCCCCAUGUGGAACGGGACUACCUAUUCCUAAAACAGAGAGCUCCUGCUCCAAGUAACAAAAAUUUUGACCUCCAGAUCCGGCAAAGCCGAUCAACGGACCGAGUUACCCUAGGGAUAACAGCGCAAUCCUCUUUUAGAGCCCA